UCCAGACUCCUACGGGAGGCAGCAGUGGGGGAUAUUGCACAAUGGGGGAAACCCUGAUGCAGCGACGCCGCGUGAGUGAAGAAGUAAUUCGGUAUGUAAAGCUCUAUCAGCAGGGAAGAAAAAAGACGGUACCUGACUAAGAAGCCCCGGCUAACUACGUGCCAGCAGCCGCGGUAAUACGUAGGGGGCAAGCGUUAUCCGGAUUUACUGGGUGUAAAGGGAGCGUAGACGGCAAUACAAGUCGGAAGUGAAAUACCCGGGCUCAACCUGGGAACUGCUUUGGAAACUGUAUGGCUGGAGUGCUGGAGAGGUAAGCGGAAUUCCUAGUGUAGCGGUGAAAUGCGUAGAUAUUAGGAGGAACACCAGUGGCGAAGGCGGCUUACUGGACAGUAACUGACGUUGAGGCUCGAAAGCGUGGGGAGCAAACAGGAUUAGAUACCCGGGUACCA
RNAcentral lists this ribosomal RNA (449 nucleotides) under uncultured bacterium. RNAcentral describes it as "bacterial SSU rRNA". It matches the Rfam family "Bacterial small subunit ribosomal RNA", at positions 330 to 797 of the family's 1533-position model. The record is from RNAcentral.